AUUAAUGUACCCACCUCUGGCAUACAAAUUUAAGUUGCCGAAAAUAUAAAACAUUAUAAUUAUUGGGUUUUUUACAAAGUGUGCAAUACGUCACAUCCCUAUAGGCUAUAGUCUAUAGCUGGUCUCACGGUAAUGUAUUUCGGUUAAUCCUGAAAAUUAAUGAUUUGUUGCACUGGAAUAGUGGAAUGCGUAUCCAUCUGAUUCGCAUGGUGUUGUUGGUAGCGAUAGCGAUUUGCGCAGUUCCUGCCCCCAUUGCGCAAGCAUGGAAUUCCUUCGUCGGCACAACUUUGCAAUAUUCCACAUACACUUUUUACCCUCCAGCAGGAAAUCUGUAUCCUGGAACAAAUAAUUAUAGAGGUCAGUAUUACGGAAAUUUUGGGAGCACCAACAAAUAUAUUAGACGCAGAUACCCGUCCGGUUACGUAACCGACUGUGACAGACAUCCACGACCUUAUCGCGAAAGAUACGAAUAUGCGGCACAACAUUCCGGGGAAUAACACAGGAGUAACAGGACACAUGAAAAUUAACUUGAGUACUUACUUAUUUGAAAAAGGUUUUAAAAGGUAUAGCACACUGCAGAGCACAGAAGAGGUCAUCUUGAAAAGCUUUCAGAUGCCUAAACUGAGACGUUGUUUCCGUUGCUUAUACAGUAGCAAGUGUCCGGACAUGGUGAGAUUCUUACUUCUCGAAAGCUACAACAAAUAAAUAAUGCAGCAAGGUUGACAAAGUGAUACUUGCGGUAUUCUAAAUACAUACUGGCAACUAUUUGGUAUUUCAAAAACUAUUCCCAAGAUGUCUGGCCUGGUUUUUUGAUACUGUAAUAUUGCGAGUGGGAAUAUUUAGUGUGUACAAAAAAAGAUCGGACGUUGUAAUAAUUAUUGUAAUGUAAUUAUAACGUUAUAUGU
This is a long non-coding RNA of Paramacrobiotus metropolitanus, 905 nucleotides long. RefSeq lists it as uncharacterized. The transcript is spliced from 3 exons. NCBI's taxonomy places the organism in Eukaryota, Metazoa, Tardigrada, Eutardigrada, Parachela, Macrobiotidae. The record is from RefSeq and is a predicted model, not a curated record.